Molecule: unclassified non-coding RNA, 1446 nt
Filed under: Daphnia pulex (common water flea)
Lineage: Eukaryota; Metazoa; Arthropoda; Branchiopoda; Diplostraca; Daphniidae
Description: uncharacterized LOC124193067, transcript variant X3
Source: RNAcentral
UCAUAUAAAAAAAACUAAAUUAAAAGACUUGUGGUGUCUAAUAACGUUUUAGCUGUCUAAUAAUUUUAAUCACAGACUAUUACGCAGGCCGGCAGGCGUAUCAAAAAAGGUUUGGCUUAAUAACAGGUGGAGGCGUGCGUUGCGCCCCCGCUACCAGGCAAGCAGACAACUGUAGCAGACAAUGAGACAACAAAUCAACAAAGGUGGUGCAUGAAAAACUUGAAAAAAAGGUUUCUGGGGUUUGUAGUACUUUGCUUGCUACAAAUGGCGCUCCGUAGUCCGUAGUUAUUGUGAAUAUUGAAAAACAUUCACACAUAUUAGCAUUAUAACAUAUUGAAUUUCAGAGUUCAAAUAACCUUUUUGACAUCCGAUGGACAAAAUUUCUCAACAAGAAACGAUGAUAUCGAAAAUCAAUGGCUCGUGUCCGACGUCUCCAAUAUAUUCCCAUGACUAUUGUUUUUCCUAAUAGCACAUGGAAGAUUCCCGCGAAUGAGACUCUCUUGGCCUCUUCUAUGAUUUGGCCAUUCGCGGCAGGUGACAACCUCAGAUGGACAUGGAUUACUCAUCAGGUGUCUUGUACAGUACCUGCAGAUUGAAAAGACGAACACCACAGUGGACUACCAUCACCGGUAUAUCAACUGGACGCCCUCCUGUUUCCUAGAUCUCGCGAAAGUUUGUCUGCUAUACUUAUAAGUUUGUAGACCUAUUCCAAUCCCCAGCAACAUCAAUCUGCAGAAGGAAAGCCCUGUUUGCAUGCCCUUGACUUUCGAAGGUCACCGAGAUCAUUACGUAAAACGUGUCAUGCAGUGGUGUAGAGGUUGGGUGAGAACGACCCAUCCCCAGCAACGUCAACCUGCGGAACCAGUUUUCUUGUCCUUAGCGCUCGAAGGUCACGGAGAUCAUUAAGUAAUACGUAUCAUGCGACGGCGGAGAGGUUGGGUGAGAAAGGAGAGAGAAAAGGCCAGAGACAUCAGUCGAGUGAGGAUCUCCGACACGGCAACAACUGCAGCGCACUCUCUGUCACCAUCUGCCUUCUUCAGCGUAUUGCCAGUUCGUAUCCAUGGUUAAUAAGGCGUCGUACGCUGUUCGGUGUUGUGUCGUUGUUUGGUGGGUCGACCACUGGUGUAUCGAUGUCUUCUUGGUAUGGCGGCUACCAAACCGCAACGCCGCCGCCUUCCCAAAAGCAACUCACGCAACGACCAGUUAUUGCACCAAGGUCUACAAGUACUACACUACUAAGGCACCGGAGUUUUAUACCAUAAUUUCCGCUGCCCCGAGCCACUACACUGACGUCCUGAAGUAUUACUCUGCCCCGAGUUACUACACCACCAAGGCAACGGAGUAUGACUAUGCAUUCUGCCCCAUCCUACUACAUCGAGGCUCCCAACUGCUACACCGAGGCUCCCGCUGAUUACUCCACCGAAGCGGCAAAGUACUACUCUGCCC